RNAcentral lists this ribosomal RNA (425 nucleotides) under uncultured rumen bacterium. Its description in RNAcentral is "bacterial SSU rRNA". It matches the Rfam family "Bacterial small subunit ribosomal RNA", at positions 354 to 776 of the family's 1533-position model. The record is from RNAcentral.
GUGGGGAAUAUUGGUCAAUGGGCGGAAGCCUGAACCAGCCAUGCCGCGUGAAGGAAUAAGGCCCUAUGGGUCGUAAACUUCUUUUGACGGGGAGCAAUAAGGGUCACGUGUGGCCCGAUGAGAGUACUCGUCGAAUAAGCAUCGGCUAACUCCGUGCCAGCAGCCGCGGUAAUACGGAGGAUGCAAGCGUUAUCCGGAUUUAUUGGGUUUAAAGGGUGCGUAGGCGGACGUGUAAGUCAGGGGUGAAAUACCGGGGCUCAACCUCGGAACUGCCUUUGAUACUGCAUGUCUGGAGUUCGGAUGCCGUGGGAGGAAUGGGCAGUGUAGCGGUGAAAUGCAUAGAUAUUGCCCAGAACACCGAUUGCGAAGGCAUCUCACGAAUCCGACACUGACGCUGAGGCACGAAAGCGUGGGGAUCAAACAGG